This 395-nucleotide ribosomal RNA is filed under the name uncultured bacterium. RNAcentral describes it as "bacterial SSU rRNA". It matches the Rfam family "Bacterial small subunit ribosomal RNA", at positions 361 to 773 of the family's 1533-position model. The record is from RNAcentral.
AUAUUGGACAAUGGGGGCAACCCUGAUCCAGCCAUGCCGCGUGAGCGAUGAAGGCCUUAGGGUUGUAAAGCUCUUUCAGUGGGGAAGAUAAUGACUGUACCCACAGAAGAAGCCCCGGCUAACUCCGUGCCAGCAGCCGCGGUAAUACGGAGGGGGCUAGCGUUGUUCGGAAUUACUGGGCGUAAAGCGCACGUAGGCGGACUGGAAAGUCAGGGGUGAAAUCCCGGGGCUCAACCCCGGAACUGCCUUUGAAACUCCCGGUCUUGAGGUCGAGAGAGGUGAGUGGAAUUCCGAGUGUAGAGGUGAAAUUCGUAGAUAUUCGGAGGAACACCAGUGGCGAAGGCGGCUCACUGGCUCGAUACUGACGCUGAGGUGCGAAAGCGUGGGGAGCAAAC